UCCCGGUCAAAUCAUUUGAGUUUAGCCUUGCGGCCGUACUCCCCAGGCGGAGGACUUACCGCGUUAGCUACGACACUGCGAGGCUUACCCUCUCAACGUCUAGUCCUCAUCGUUUAUGGCGUGGACUACCAGGGUAUCUAAUCCUGUUUGCUCCCCACGCUUUCGUGCCUGAACGUCGGUGCUGGACCAGGAAGUCGCUUUCGCCACUGAUGUUCCUUCCGAUAUCUACGCAUUUCACCGCUACACCGGAAAUUCCACUUCCCUCUUCCGCACCCUAGCUACGCAGUCUCGAAUGCAAUUCCCAGGUUGAGCCCGGGGCUUUCACACCCGACUUAUGUAACCGUCUACGCACGCUUUACGCCAAGUAAUUCCGAUUAACGCUUGCACCCUCUGUAUUACCGCGGCUGCUGGCACAGAGUUAGCCGGUGCUUUUUCUGUGGGUUAGGUCAAGACCCAAGGGUGUUAUCCCUAGGCUUUUCAUCCCCACUAAAAGUGCUUUACAACCCGCAGGCCUUCUUCACACACGCGGCGUCGCUGGAUCAGGGUUGCCCCCAUUGUCCAAUAUUCCCCACUGCUGCCUCCCGUAGGAGUCUGGGCCGUGUCUCAGUCCCAGUGUGGCUGGUCGUCCUCUCAGACCAGCUACGGAUCGUCGCCUUGGUAGGCCGUUACCCUACCAACUAGCUAAUCCGACUUCGGCUCAUCCAAUAGCGCGAGGCCUUGCGGUCCCCCGCUUUCCCACCUUUCUAAUGAAGAAAGGGGGCGUAUGCGGUAUUAGCCAACCUUUCGGCUGGUUAUUCCCCACUAAAGGGCAGAUUCCGAAGCAUUGCUCACCCGUUCGCCGCUCGUCAGCACGUAUUGCUACGCCUGUUACCGCUCGACUUGCAUGUGUUAGGCACGCCGCCAGCGUUCAAUCUGAGCCAUAAUCAAACUCU
Molecule: ribosomal RNA, 932 nt
Filed under: uncultured Pseudomonadota bacterium
Lineage: Bacteria; Pseudomonadati; Pseudomonadota
Description: uncultured proteobacterium partial 16S ribosomal RNA
Source: RNAcentral